This is a long non-coding RNA of Pomacea canaliculata, 733 nucleotides long. RefSeq lists it as uncharacterized. The transcript is spliced from 3 exons. Lineage: Eukaryota; Metazoa; Mollusca; Gastropoda; Architaenioglossa; Ampullariidae. The record is from RefSeq and is a predicted model, not a curated record.
AGAGGUUUUCUCCAUGGACAAGUGAGCGGUGAAAAGCGGUCUUCGUCCGCCAUCUUCUUUAAACCUCACACAGCGAUAUUCCUCUUAACUUGUGCUUCUUCGACGCAACACAUCUCUUCAUCCUCAUCGUCAUCUGCGCGGGUCGUCAAGCGGUGUGUGUGAUACGUCCUGCGUAUGCAAGACGCGCUCACUAACAGCUUCGACAGACACUCCAACAUAAAGGAAUAUCCGAGAGAAAACCACCGACUGUCGGCCCUGUAAUGAGGUUUAACAUCAAAAGAAAAGUAUCCCAGCAAAUGUCAUCAACUGUCUGGUGUUCUGGAGUCAGGGUCUACGCGAUCGGAUGAACCUCUGUCUCUUCACACUGGCACUAGUAGACUGCGCCUACAUGCUUGCAAUCUUCACGAUACUACCGUUAUCUUAUUUUAUUGAGUGGACAAACGAGUGGAUCUUCAGGAAUUUCUAUAAACAGGCGUUUACAGCUGUGGGAGGCAUCACCUAUUGCCUUCGAUAACAUCCUCCUUCAUCACCAUGGUGAUCGCGGUGGAACGGUGUGUCUGUGUAAUGUUUCCUCUUCGAGCUUCAACACUGAUAAGCACGCACCAUGGGCACACUGAUUGCUUUGACUUCCCUCGGUCUUCAGCUUGGGUACGUCGUCUACCCCAUGUCCUAUUACGGUGAUGUGAUUAUUUUUAAUGGAAGGAGUAGUAGAAUAUUUUUACAGAGCCAGUUU